UGGGGAAUAUUGGACAAUGGGCGCAAGCCUGAUCCAGCCAUACCGCGUGGGUGAAGAAGGCCUUCGGGUUGUAAAGCCUUUGUUGGGAAGAAUCCAGCCGGCUAAUACCUGGUUGGGAUGACGGUACCCAAGAAUAAGCACCGGCUAACUUCGUGCCAGCAGCCGCGGUAAUACGAAGGGUGCAAGCGUUACUCGGAAUUACUGGGCGUAAAGCGUGCGUAGGUGGUCGUUUAAGUCCGUUGUGAAAGCCCUGGGCUCAACCUGGGAACUGCAGUGGAUACUGGGCGACUAGAGUGUGGUAGAGGGUAGCGGAAUUCCUGGUGUAGCAGUGAAAUGCGUAGAGAUCAGGAGGAACAUCCAUGGCGAAGGCAGCUACCUGGACCAACACUGACACUGAGGCACGAAAGCGU
This 410-nucleotide ribosomal RNA is filed under the name uncultured Stenotrophomonas sp. RNAcentral's name for it is "bacterial SSU rRNA". It matches the Rfam family "Bacterial small subunit ribosomal RNA", at positions 355 to 762 of the family's 1533-position model. Lineage: Bacteria; Pseudomonadati; Pseudomonadota; Gammaproteobacteria; Lysobacterales; Lysobacteraceae. The record is from RNAcentral.